Molecule: long non-coding RNA, 1233 nt
Organism: Pieris napi
Lineage: Eukaryota; Metazoa; Arthropoda; Insecta; Lepidoptera; Pieridae
Exons: 7
Source: RefSeq, a predicted model, not a curated record
UUAAGGAUAAUAUUGAUUAGUAAAAAAAUUUAAAACUGUGUAGUAUUUCUUGCAUCAUCAGUGAGGUGGUUCGUUUUUUGUACUAUCAAAAUGGUGACGUACUUUAUUAUUUCAAGUUGUUUAGCAAUAGUUGUAAAAGGAGUUAUAAGCAAAGAUUGCACUGACUGUAUGGAAUAUAAAUUGUGUCCAGCAGCCCUUAACUUGGUUCUGAAUAAAACUGUUAAAGCUGAGAAGACUUUUCGUGAAGCAGUUUGUGACGAUAGAUUAAAUAAUGGGACGAAGAGCAUUAAGGUUUGCUGCUCAAUGUUACAAGAACACGCGGCGGAUGUCCAGAAAUUUAACGUUUUACCAGAUCAGUGUGGUGAAAUCCGUGAAGAUCGUCUUUUUCGUGGGCCUGUAGUCAACUUGUUUGAUUACGAGUGAUUGGCUGUGUUUAAUAAAUCUAAUGGGCAUGGCCACUGUACCGGCAGCAUCAUUACACCAAGGUAUAUCCUCACAGCAGCCAGCUGUGUCAAGGACACAAAUAUAACCACUGUGCGGAUAGGCGAAUACGACCUAAGUACAGAUAUGGAUUGUGUUGAAGAUGGGGGAACUUAUUGCACAUCUGGACAUACGGAUAUGAUCGUGGAGAAAGUUAUACCACACGAAGGAUUUCGAUUUCAUCAGAUUGGGCACGACAUAGCGUUGAUUCGUCUUAAAGCAUCUAUUAAUUUGAAAAGUGGAGACGCGCUUUGCCUACCGAAAUCCCCGGCUCCACACGAUUCAGAUUGGUUCAAUAAUCUGGCGUUAACGGUGGGGUGGGGAGCGCCCAACACGGUUCCACUCAAAUCCUAUCUUCGUGGUUUCAAUGAUACAACGUGCAAUGAUUUUUAUAAAAGAUAUCCAGAUUUAAAAAACAACAAUUUUGCGCGCGGGAUUUGUAUGAUAAUACCAACCUGGAUCCUGGAAGUCCACUUCUUACGGUUUCCACCUAUGGACAGAUUCCAAUACACGUUCAGUAUGGAAUUUUAUCGCAAGAAGUCGGUAAUCAACAUUACAUUUAUACAAAUGUUAAUAAAUAUAUGGCUUGGAUUCUGAGGACUCUACGGGAGUUAGACUAAAAUGUCUAUUAGUUGGUAAAUUUAAUAUUUGGAAUAUGCUUAUUUAACAAAUUAUUUAAAUUAACAAAAUUUAUGAUUUACUUUUAAUUUAGCUAAAAUUGAUUAUUAACUUCUACAUUGUCUAUUAACUAUU